This 477-nucleotide ribosomal RNA is filed under the name Candidatus Brocadia fulgida. Its description in RNAcentral is "bacterial SSU rRNA". It matches the Rfam family "Bacterial small subunit ribosomal RNA", at positions 365 to 832 of the family's 1533-position model. Lineage: Bacteria; Pseudomonadati; Planctomycetota; Candidatus Brocadiia; Candidatus Brocadiales; Candidatus Brocadiaceae. The record is from RNAcentral.
UUCGCAAUGCCCGAAAGGGUGACGAAGCGACGCCGCGUGCGGGAAGAAGGCCUUCGGGUUGUAAACCGCUGUCGGGAGUUAGGAAAUGCAAGGAUGUUAAUAGCAUCUUUGCUUGACUAAGGCUCCGGAGGAAGCCACGGCUAACUCUGUGCCAGCAGCCGCGGUAAUACAGAGGCGGCAAGCGUUGUUCGGAAUUAUUGGGCGUAAAGAGCACGUAGGCGGCCGUGUAAGUCGGUUGUGAAAGCCUUCCGCUCAACGGGAGAACGGCAUCCGAUACUGCAUGGCUCGAGUGCGGGAGGGGAGAGUGGAACUUCUGGUGGAGCGGCGAAAUGCGUAGAUACCAGAAGGAACGUCGGCGGCGAAAGCGACUCUCUGGCCUAUUACUGACACUGAGUGUGCGAAAGUUAGGGGAGCAAACGGGAUUAGAUACCCCGGUAGUCCUAACUGUAAACGAUGGGCACUAAGUAGAGGGGUUUU